GACGAACGCUGGCGGCGUGCCUAAUACAUGCAAGUCGAGCGGACCGGAUUGGGGCUUGCCUUGAUUCGGUCAGCGGCGGACGGGUGAGUAACACGUGGGCAACCUGCCCGCAAGACCGGGAUAACUCCGGGAAACCGGAGCUAAUACCGGAUAACACCGAAGACCGCAUGGUCUUCGGUUGAAAGGCGGCCUUUGGGCUGUCACUUGCGGGUGGGCCCGCGGCGCAUUAGCUAGUUGGUGAGGUAACGGCUCACCAAGGCGACGAUGCGUAGCCGGCCUGAGAGGGUGACCGGCCACACUGGGACUGAGACACGGCCCAGACUCCUACGGGAGGCAGCAGUAGGGAAUCUUCCGCAAUGGGCGAAAGCCUGACGGAGCGACGCCGCGUGAGCGAAGAAGGCCUUCGGGUCGUAAAGCUCUGUUGUGAGGGACGAAGGAGCGCCGUUCGAAGAGGGCGGCGCGGUGACGGUACCUCACGAGAAAGCCCCGGCUAUCUACGUGCCAGCCGCCGCCGUAA
This 517-nucleotide ribosomal RNA is filed under the name uncultured bacterium. Its description in RNAcentral is "partial 16S ribosomal RNA". It matches the Rfam family "Bacterial small subunit ribosomal RNA", at positions 28 to 523 of the family's 1533-position model. The record is from RNAcentral.